UAGGCACACAUACAAGGCAGCAAGAGGAA
This 29-nucleotide non-coding RNA is filed under the name Macaca fascicularis (crab-eating macaque). RNAcentral also lists the same sequence under 1 other name. Lineage: Eukaryota; Metazoa; Chordata; Mammalia; Primates; Cercopithecidae. The record is from RNAcentral.